CAAAUUAAAGCUAAACUUAAGCAUUUUAUUUACAUUAAAAAGUUAAUUGUGAAAUUCAAUUUAGUUUGA
RNAcentral lists this transfer RNA (69 nucleotides) under Ophraella communa. RNAcentral describes it as "tRNA-Val". Lineage: Eukaryota; Metazoa; Arthropoda; Insecta; Coleoptera; Chrysomelidae. The record is from RNAcentral.